GGGCGUGUGCCCGAGCUGCCUCCGCGACCGCCUCGCCCACCUCUCCGCCAACUCCUCGGCGACCACCACCCUCACGCGCGCCUCCAACUCGGCCAGCACCUCCCCCUACUCCUCCACCGACUCCCCUCCGCUCCACCACGCCGCCCUCUCCGCCGACACCACCUCCGUCCACGUCGUCGGCGCCGGGGCCGGCUCCUCCUUCGUCAACGUCUCUGCCUUCUCGCAGCCGCUCAUGCCGACGACCGCCAAGAAAGCAGCAGCAGGGAGGCAAGAGGAGGCCAAGGGAAAGGAGGGCGAGGCGAAGAAGAAAAAGAAGAGCAGCAGCAAGAAGAAGAUCGGGAGGUUCCUGUCGAGGCUCGUCGGGACGGAGAAGCGGCGGAGGACUGGGGAAGGCGACGGCGGCGAGCUCUUCCAUUCCAGCACCAUGAAGGAGAAGUCGUCGACCAAGUGGGUCUUCUUUUGAUCAGGCCACCAACCAUGAUCGAGAACCAUGCCUGGCCUUUCUCGGUUCUCACUUCUCGAUCGAUCGGGUAUUGGUUUUCUUUGUUUCCUCUGUUUUUGUUUUACAACAAGUAUUCUUCUUGAGCUUGAUUUGAUAUUUUCCUCAAGCGCCGUGUAUAUACACGAGAUCAAGUAGCUGACCGUAAGGAGACGCAUACAUAUAUGGUGAAAUUGCAUAUGGUUAUUGAUUUUUUUUUAUAUAUAUGUAGGACAGGGUGUAUGGAUGUAAAUUAACGUGUAUUUGUAUCUAGCAUAGCAUGUAGUAUGUACAAGUACCAUGUGAAAUUGAAUGCUCCUGUGAUUCACGAAUUAUACCAUAGCUUUGCUUAAUUUUCUCGGUAGCUACAUGCAUACCGUUGGUCUUGCUACUAUCCGUACUCGUUACUUGUUCUGACUGACGACGGGGAUUGAUUGAACACAUCAGCGGAAAGAGAAAGCAAAAUGUUUGCAUCGUAUACAU
Molecule: long non-coding RNA, 961 nt
Filed under: Hordeum vulgare
Lineage: Eukaryota; Viridiplantae; Streptophyta; Magnoliopsida; Poales; Poaceae
Description: long non-coding RNA (HVUL_LNC011051)
Source: RNAcentral